GGGCCCUUAGCUCAGUUGGUUAGAGCAGUGGACUCAUAAUCCAAAGGUCGUGGGAUCAUACCCCUCAGGGCCCAC
RNAcentral lists this transfer RNA (75 nucleotides) under Alistipes onderdonkii subsp. vulgaris. RNAcentral describes it as "tRNA-Met". It matches the Rfam family "tRNA". Rfam says of the family: Transfer RNA (tRNA) molecules are approximately 80 nucleotides in length. Their secondary structure includes four short double-helical elements and three loops (D, anti-codon, and T loops). The record is from RNAcentral. Lineage: Bacteria; Pseudomonadati; Bacteroidota; Bacteroidia; Bacteroidales; Rikenellaceae.